This 511-nucleotide ribosomal RNA is filed under the name uncultured Oxalobacteraceae bacterium. Its description in RNAcentral is "partial 16S ribosomal RNA". The record is from RNAcentral. Lineage: Bacteria; Pseudomonadati; Pseudomonadota; Betaproteobacteria; Burkholderiales; Oxalobacteraceae.
CACGUAGUUAGCCGGUGCUUAUUCUUCAGGUACCGUCAUUAGUCGAGGAUAUUAGCCUCAACCGUUUCUUCCCUGACAAAAGAGCUUUACAACCCGAAGGCCUUCUUCACUCACGCGGCAUUGCUGGAUCAGGCUUUCGCCCAUUCUCCAAAAUUCCCCACUGCUGCCUCCCGUAGGAGUCUGGACCGUGUCUCAGUUCCAGUGUGGCUGGUCGUCCUCUCAGACCAGCUACUGAUCGUCGCCUUGGUGAGUCCUUUACCUCACCAACUAGCUAAUCAGAUAUCGGCCGCUCCAGGAGCACAAGGUCCGAAGACUCCCCUGCUUUCAUUCCUAGAUCGUAUGCGGUAUUGACGUACUUCGCUACGUUACUCCCCAUCUUGGUACUUCCGAUAUAUUACUCACCCGUUCGCCACUUCCGCCGCCGUAGGUUCGCCCCGCGCCUGCCGUUCGACUUGCAGUGUAGUAAAGCAGUCGCCGCCAGUCCGUUCAAAUUCGUGACGCCGAGGACUAC